UGGGGAAUAUUGGGCAAUGGGGGAAACCCUGACCCAGCAACGCCGCGUGAGUGAAGAAGGUCUUCGGAUUGUAAAACUCUGUCCUUGGGGACGAAAAAAAUGACGGUACCCAAGGAGGAAGCCCCGGCUAACUACGUGCCAGCAGCCGCGGUAAUACGUAGGGGGCGAGCGUUGUCCGGAAUUAUUGGGCGUAAAGGGUGCGUAGGCGGUCACCUAAGUCUUAUGUGAAAUACCCGGGCUUAACUUGGGAAUGGCAUAGGAAACUGGGUGACUUGAGUGCAGGAGAGGUAAGUGGAAUUCCUAGUGUAGCGGUGAAAUGCGUAGAUAUUAGGAGGAACACCAGUGGCGAAGGCGACUUACUGGACUGUAACUGACGCUGAGGCACGAAAGCGUGGGGAGCAAACA
RNAcentral lists this ribosomal RNA (405 nucleotides) under uncultured Eubacteriales bacterium. RNAcentral's name for it is "uncultured Clostridiales bacterium partial 16S ribosomal RNA". It matches the Rfam family "Bacterial small subunit ribosomal RNA", at positions 355 to 774 of the family's 1533-position model. The record is from RNAcentral. Lineage: Bacteria; Bacillati; Bacillota; Clostridia; Eubacteriales.